GAUGAACGCUGGCGGCGUGCUUAACACAUGCAAGUCGAACGGUGAACACGGAGCUUGCUCUGUGGGAUCAGUGGCGAACGGGUGAGUAACACGUGAGCAACCUGCCCCUGACUCUGGGAUAAGCGCUGGAAACGGCGUCUAAUACUGGAUAUGUGACGUGACCGCAUGGUCUGCGUUUGGAAAGAUUUUUCGGUUGGGGAUGGGCUCGCGGCCUAUCAGCUAGUUGGUGAGGUAAUGGCGGACCAAGUCGUCGACGGGUAGCCGGCCUGAGAGGGUGACCGGGCACACUGGUACUAAGGGACGGCCCAGACUCCUACGGGAGGCAGCAGUGGGGAAUAUUGCACAAUGGGCGCGAGCCUGAUGCAACAGCGCCGCGUGAGGGAUGACGGCCUUCGGGUUGUAAACCUCUUUUAGCAGAGAAGAAGCGAUAGUGACGGUACCUACAGAAAAAGCGCCGGCUAACUACGUG
This 469-nucleotide ribosomal RNA is filed under the name uncultured bacterium. RNAcentral's name for it is "partial 16S ribosomal RNA". It matches the Rfam family "Bacterial small subunit ribosomal RNA", at positions 28 to 507 of the family's 1533-position model. The record is from RNAcentral.